GAAUGUUGAGCAGCGCUUCAACCCUAUUAUACCUCCUGGUGUAUACAUAUUCGAAUUUUAUGCUCAAAAACCCAUCGUCACCAUCUCCAUAACCGAGGCCUCUCGAUGUUGCUAAGAUGAGUUUUUAGCUUGAAGUUCCACUGUCGCCACCAAUCGUGUUUAGUUGGAAAGCCAACUAUCACGGCUGCCAUCGCCAGUGGUUUUUGAAAAUUGGUCCGACUCCAAAUUCCAAAUGUCCAGAUAACUCACUUUUGGUCACUGAUCGGUCCAGAUGAGACACGCAUGACGAUUGAAGUCCAUCAUUGUUGCUUAAUGUCAAGCCCUCGCCACCGGAUAUACUUUUGAUUUGGUCAGAGGUCAGAGGAAGCGGGGUGGUGCGUGAUGCACCUUCCACCACACGUGAAACAUACAAAAAGUCCACCGCCACACAAUAGUUCAACGAGUGAUGGUUUGAACGUGAUGGAUUUCUGUGAUAUUCUUCACGCGUGAAAAAUGGAUGGAUGUGAGGGGGUGUGGGGGUUUCUUGUUAGGUGUUGUGAGCGAUGACCAUUGCCACUAAAAAGGCUGUGAAUGAUAGAAAAAUGGUUGAUGACAUGGCGGAACUUGAUUGGGUGUUGUGAGUGAUGAGUGAUGACCACCCCCACCCCUCAAGACGAAGGUUAGCCGGCACCAGAACUCGUUGCUGCUAGUGCUAGACUUUGAGUCGCAAUCCGACGCCACUACAUCGACGGUGAAUCUUCUUGAAACAGCCACCGUUUGUGGCUAUUGAAACAAAAAAAACGAGCCAA
RNAcentral lists this long non-coding RNA (788 nucleotides) under Helianthus annuus (common sunflower). RNAcentral's name for it is "sRNA HanXRQr2_Chr17g0797791". Lineage: Eukaryota; Viridiplantae; Streptophyta; Magnoliopsida; Asterales; Asteraceae. The record is from RNAcentral.